This 650-nucleotide ribosomal RNA is filed under the name Salmonella enterica subsp. enterica serovar Kentucky. RNAcentral's name for it is "partial 23S ribosomal RNA". It matches the Rfam family "Bacterial large subunit ribosomal RNA", at positions 2259 to 2903 of the family's 2925-position model. The record is from RNAcentral. Lineage: Bacteria; Pseudomonadati; Pseudomonadota; Gammaproteobacteria; Enterobacterales; Enterobacteriaceae.
UGGUGGGUAGUUUGACUGGGGCGGUCUCCUCCUAAAGAGUAACGGAGGAGCACGAAGGUUGGCUAAUCCUGGUCGGACAUCAGGAGGUUAGUGCAAUGGCAUAAGCCAGCUUGACUGCGAGCGUGACGGCGCGAGCAGGUGCGAAAGCAGGUCAUAGUGAUCCGGUGGUUCUGAAUGGAAGGGCCAUCGCUCAACGGAUAAAAGGUACUCCGGGGAUAACAGGCUGAUACCGCCCAAGAGUUCAUAUCGACGGCGGUGUUUGGCACCUCGAUGUCGGCUCAUCACAUCCUGGGGCUGAAGUAGGUCCCAAGGGUAUGGCUGUUCGCCAUUUAAAGUGGUACGCGAGCUGGGUUUAGAACGUCGUGAGACAGUUCGGUCCCUAUCUGCCGUGGGCGCUGGAGAACUGAGGGGGGCUGCUCCUAGUACGAGAGGACCGGAGUGGACGCAUCACUGGUGUUCGGGUUGUCAUGCCAAUGGCACUGCCCGGUAGCUAAAUGCGGAAGAGAUAAGUGCUGAAAGCAUCUAAGCACGAAACUUGCCCCGAGAUGAGUUCUCCCUGAGACUUAGAGUCUCCUGAAGGAACGUUGAAGACGACGACGUUGAUAGGCCGGGUGUGUAAGCGCAGCGAUGCGUUGAGCUAACCGGUACUA